AAUGAACGCUGGCGGCAUGCCUAACACAUGCAAGUCGAACGAGACCUUCGGGUCUAGUGGCGCACGGGUGCGUAACGCGUGGGAAUCUGCCCUUGGGUUCGGAAUAACUCGCCGAAAGGCGUGCUAAUACCGGAUGAUGACGUAAGUCCAAAGAUUUAUCGCCCAAGGAUGAGCCCGCGUAGGAUUAGCUAGUUGGUGGGGUAAAGGCCCACCAAGGCGACGAUCCUUAGCUGGUCUGAGAGGAUGAUCAGCCACACUGGGACUGAGACACGGCCCAGACUCCUACGGGAGGCAGCAGUGGGGAAUAUUGGACAAUGGGCGAAAGCUUGAUCCAGCAAUGCCGCGUGAGUGAUGAAGGCCUUAGGGUUGUAAAGCUCUUUUACCCGGGAUGAUAAUGACAGUACCGGGAGAAUAAGCCCCGGCUAACUCCGUGCCAGCCGCCGCCGUAA
This 449-nucleotide ribosomal RNA is filed under the name uncultured bacterium. RNAcentral describes it as "partial 16S ribosomal RNA". It matches the Rfam family "Bacterial small subunit ribosomal RNA", at positions 29 to 523 of the family's 1533-position model. The record is from RNAcentral.